Molecule: ribosomal RNA, 468 nt
Filed under: uncultured bacterium
Lineage: Bacteria
Description: partial 16S ribosomal RNA
Rfam family: Bacterial small subunit ribosomal RNA
Source: RNAcentral
GACGAACGCUGGCGGCGUGCUUAACACAUGCAAGUCGAACGGAAAGGUCCGGCUUUUGUGGGGUCGUCGAGUGGCGAACGGGUGAGUAACACGUGAGUUACCUGUCCCUGACUUUGGGAUAACCUCAUGACACUUGGGCUAAUACCGGAUAGGAGUUCCUGCCGCAUGGUGGGGGCUGGAAAGAUUAGGUGGUUGGGGGUGUAAUCGCGUAUUAUCAGCUUGUUGGUGGGGUAGUGGGAUAGCAAGGUCUUGACGGGUAGCCGGCCUGGGAGGGUGACCGGCCACGUUAGAACUGGGAUGCGGCACAGACUCGUACGGGAGGCGGCGGUGGGGAAGAGUACACAAUGGAAGGGAGCCUAAUGCAGCAACGCCGCGUGCGGGAUGACGGCCUUCGGGUUGUAAUCCGAAUUCGCCUGUGACGAAGCGUGAAUGACGGUAAUGGGUAAAGAAGCACCGGCUAACUACGUG